UUGGAAAGGUGAUUUAACAGUGAUCGGAAGAUGUUUCUCCAUGGUUUAUUAAUUAACGACGAAUUACCAGAUAAUAUUCACUUAUAUCGCUUCUACGAAUCCUUGACGUUGGAUUAGAAUUCAAUUUGUGGAUCGUACUCUACACGGUAUAUCUGUGGAAGUAAAAGACGUACACGUAACUUUCUGAUUGGUGAUCCAACCGCAUUUAGAAAAGUAAACGCGACACGAUUCACGUUGGAUAGAUGAUUAGAAGUCUAGUGGAAGUGGAAACAAUGGGACGGAGCAAAUUGCCUUUUGCUGACGAAUAGAAAGCCGAGGUUUCUUAAUGGUGGACAAAGUUGCUUGAGAGGUAACGUCGCACGAUUUCGUUGAAUGUCAACGCGUUCGUUAGGCUGGAAUUUUGCGGGCACGCGGUUGAUUGUGUUUAAGCAACGAACAGUGGCGAAGUGUUUCGUUCAAGUUCUAUCAUUUCGAGAGUUUUCCUGGAGUAAUUCUGCGCACUGCCUCGAAUCUCUGAAUGUUGGAUCGACCAACAGAGGAUAUGUUAAUGAGUGUUUGAUUUAAGAGAUUGCAAUUUUUAAUGCGAAGUUCAGAAUUGCACGGUGGAAAAUUAAAAUAUAAAGAUUAUAUUAUUUAUUUCGUUAUAUUCAAAUUUACUUAGUUAUGAUUAAGUUUAAUGUUAUUAUUACGAGCAGAGAUGUCUGUAUUUUCUUGUUUCUACACAGUAAUAGGUAUCUACGUCGAUAUCAGUAUCUAUAUGAAAAGACUUUAUUACGUGUUUAUGAAUGUAAGCAAUAACAUGUUACUUAUGUGGAACACGGUUCUGUAUUAUUAUCGCUUCAACUACAAUGUUAUUUUGGGUCUAUGUAAAAUAUUACUAUAUUUCAGAAAUGCAAAUCUAUAUUUGAGAAAAUAAAGUCCUAGAGCCGUCUUAAAAUGUA
Bombus pascuorum is the source of this 941-nucleotide long non-coding RNA. RefSeq lists it as uncharacterized. The transcript has 2 exons. NCBI's taxonomy places the organism in Eukaryota, Metazoa, Arthropoda, Insecta, Hymenoptera, Apidae. The record is from RefSeq and is a predicted model, not a curated record.